This 440-nucleotide ribosomal RNA is filed under the name uncultured bacterium. Its description in RNAcentral is "partial 16S ribosomal RNA". It matches the Rfam family "Bacterial small subunit ribosomal RNA", at positions 338 to 795 of the family's 1533-position model. The record is from RNAcentral.
CCUACGGGUGGCAGCAGUGGGGGAUAUUGCACAAUGGGGGGAACCCUGAUGCAGCGACGCCGCGUGGGUGAAGAAGCGCCUCGGCGCGUAAAGCCCUGUCAGCAGGGAAGAAAAUGACGGUACCUGAAGAAGAAGCCAUGGCUAACUACGUGCAAGCAGCCGCGGGAAUACGUAGGGGGCAAGCGUUAUCCGGAUUUACUGGGUGUAAAGGGGGCGCAGACGGCGAUGCAAGCCAGGAGUGAAAGCCCGGGGCCCAACCCUGGGACUGCUCUUGGAACUGCAUGGCUGGAGUGCAGGAGGGGCAGGCGGAAUUCCUGGUGUAGCGGUGAAAUGCGUAGAUAUCAGGAGGAACACCGGUGGCGAAGGCGGCCUGCUGGACUGCAACUGACGUUGAGGCCCGAAAGCGUGGGGAUCAAACAGGAUUAGAUACCCUAGUAGUC